CGUAGGAUGCAAGCGUUGUUCGGAAUUACUGGGCGUAAAGAGUACGUAGGCGGUAUGGUAAGUCUGAUAUUAAAGACCGGAGCUCAACUCCGGGACUGUAUCGGAAACUGCCAAACUAGAGGACAAUAGAGGAAGUCGGAAUUCUCAGUGUAGCGGUGAAAUGCGUAGAUAUUGGGAAGAACACCAGUGGCGAAAGCGGACUUCUGGGUUGUUACUGACGCUGAGGUACGAAAGCGUGGGGAGCAAACGGGAUUAGAUACCCCGGUAGUCCACGCUGUAAACGAUGGAUACUAGGUGUAACCGGUCUCGACCCCGGUUGUGCCGCAGCUAACGCAUUAAGUUCUCCGCCUGGGGAGUACGGCCGCAAGGUUA
RNAcentral lists this ribosomal RNA (372 nucleotides) under uncultured organism. RNAcentral describes it as "bacterial SSU rRNA". It matches the Rfam family "Bacterial small subunit ribosomal RNA", at positions 526 to 896 of the family's 1533-position model. The record is from RNAcentral.